CCGCGCUGAUGACCAUCUUAGGACACCUUUGGAUCAAUGAUGAAACCAAACUGUUAGUCUGAGCGGC
Cyprinodon variegatus (sheepshead minnow) is the source of this 67-nucleotide small nucleolar RNA. Its record names the gene SNORD58. It matches the Rfam family "Small nucleolar RNA SNORD58". From Rfam's summary of the family: snoRNA U58 is found in introns 1, 3 and 6 of the ribosomal protein RPL17 gene in humans. U58 is a member of the C/D class of snoRNA which contain C (UGAUGA) and D (CUGA) box motifs. Most of the members of the box C/D family function in directing site-specific 2'-O-methylation of substrate RNAs. NCBI's taxonomy places the organism in Eukaryota, Metazoa, Chordata, Actinopteri, Cyprinodontiformes, Cyprinodontidae. The record is from Ensembl.